AUGCAAGUCGAACGCAGUAGCAAUACUGAGUGGCAGACGGGUGAGUAACAUGUGGGAAUCUGCCUUGUGGUUCAGGACAACAUUGGGAAACCGAUGCUAAUACUGGAUAAGCCCUUACGGGGAAAGUUUUAAUGCCAUAAGAUGAGCCCGCAUUUGAUUAGUUAGUUGGUGAGGUAAUGGCUCACCAAGACAAUGAUCAAUAGCUGAUCUGAGAGGAUGAUCAGCCACACUGGGACUGAGACACGGCCCAGACUCCUACGGGAGGCAGCAGUGGGGAAUCUUGCACAAUGGAGGAAACUCUGAUGCAGCGAUGCCGCGUGAGUGAAGAAGGCCUUUGGGUUGUAAAGCUCUUUUGUAGGGGAAGAUAAUGACUGUACCCUAAGAAUAAGGUCCGGCUAACUUCGUGCCAGCAGCCGCGGUAAUACGAAGGGACCUAGCGUAGUUCGGAAUUACUGGGCGUAAAGCGCGCGUAGGCCGUUGAGUUAGUUAAUUGUGAAAUCCCAAAGCUUAACUUUGGAACUGCAAUUAAAACUGCUCGACUAGAGUUUGAUAGAGGAAAGCGGAAUACAUAGUGUAGAGGUGAAAUUCGUAGAUAUUAUGUAGAACACCAGUUGCGAAGGCGGCUUUCUGGAUCAACACUGACGCUGAAGCGCGAAAGUAUGGGUAGCAAAGAGGAUUAGAUACCCUCGUAGUCCAUACCAUAAACGAUGAUUGCUAAAUGUUGGAAAUUUAUUUUCAGUAUCGCAGCUUACGCAUUAAGCAAUCCNGCUGGGGAGUACGACCGCAGGGUUAAACUCAAAUGAAUUGACGGGGACCCGCACAAGCGGUGGAGCAUGUGGUUUAAUUCGAGAUACGCGCAGAACCUUACCAACCCUUGACAUGUCUGUCGCGAGUUUAGGAAACUAGACUUUUCGGUUCGGCCGGACAGAACACAGGUGCUGCAUGGCUGUCGUCAGCU
This 958-nucleotide ribosomal RNA is filed under the name uncultured Pseudomonadota bacterium. RNAcentral's name for it is "bacterial SSU rRNA". It matches the Rfam family "Bacterial small subunit ribosomal RNA", at positions 55 to 1060 of the family's 1533-position model. The record is from RNAcentral. Lineage: Bacteria; Pseudomonadati; Pseudomonadota.